Molecule: unclassified non-coding RNA, 256 nt
Filed under: Hevea brasiliensis (rubber tree)
Lineage: Eukaryota; Viridiplantae; Streptophyta; Magnoliopsida; Malpighiales; Euphorbiaceae
Source: RNAcentral
UGAAAUUGGGAGGGGCAGUAAAAGAAGCCUCCAGCUUUUGGUCUUCAUUGGUGGUGGUGGUGGUGGUGUUUGAAGUAGAAGAAAGAGGUGUCUCUGAGGUGGCUCUAAUAAUGGAAAUUGGCCUUCUGGGUAUUUUCCGCUUGCUGGGAAUCGAACAGAAAAAAGAAGAUUGAGGGAUGUUGAGAACUCCGGCCAUGAUUUCUCCGGUGGGAUCAAGAACAAAACUAGAGGUGUUGUUGUUGGGAAGUGAAGUGAU